Long non-coding RNA from Sardina pilchardus (European sardine), 954 nucleotides. RefSeq lists it as uncharacterized. The record is from RefSeq and is a predicted model, not a curated record. NCBI's taxonomy places the organism in Eukaryota, Metazoa, Chordata, Actinopteri, Clupeiformes, Clupeidae. The transcript is spliced from 3 exons.
UCAAAGAUUGAUUGAAAGGUGGAUUUCUGGGAUUUCUGUGUGUAUAGUACAGACAAACACUAGAGUUGAAGCUUCAGAAUUCCUCUAUGCCGAUUUGUAAAUGGAUCAGGAGGUUUCUGUUAAGGCUCAUCAGGGAGCCGCCAUUUCUACUAGCGACACUGUUGAUGUGUGUUACCACUGCCCCUUUCAUCAUACUGGGCUUCUUAAUAGAAGCUCCCAUUUGGAGUUAUCUGUAUGAGAGCCUUUAUUUCGUUUUGGAGGCAUUACCAGAGACAUUUGAUUAUUUAGCUUUGGAGGUGUUACCAGGGACAGUUGAUUAUUUUUGGGAGGUAUUUUUUAUAUUACUCAAUCCUUCUGCAAUUGUCAUCACGGUAAUGGCGCUAGGCUUUGUCUGCACUGUGGCUAUAACUGGUGUGGACCGUCCACUGGCCAUUCUAAAACAGAGUUUUUUUGGAGUUCAGUCAAAGUUCGACUCAUUUGCGUGGGAUGUAGACUUUGCCUUGUGGCAAGAGAAGUGCACAGUUAUUGGUGAAAGCUGUGCCAAAACAAUGAGGAGAAAGUAUGACUCUCUAGAGAAAAGGGAAAAGCUUAAGAAGGGACCUUACGACGAACAGAAGGAGUUGGCCAAGCGCUUCUAUGAUGGUAGAAUGAAAUACUUUGGGUAUCAAAACUACCUAAAUUUCUUACUGAAGAAUGGGGAAGAGCUGGCAAAACAUCUCAGGGAGUCGGUGUCAGAGCAGUACCCUGCCGGUGACCCACUGCUCAUAGAGGAAAUAGCUCUGGCCCGAAUGAUACUGAAACAGGAGACCAGAAAGCUGGACGAGCAGCUGAGGGGCGGAACCUGGGGCUGAAAUGCACUCUUCUACUUCCCCCCUCUGAAUCACAUGACCGCUUGUGCACUCUUAAAUAGUAUUGUAUGUAUGAGUGCUCUAAUACAUAAUCUAUUAGAUGUGC